UUUGUUCUAUAUAUUGCACUUGAGAUUCUAGGUUACGCCGCUAGCUCUGCUCAGCCCGAUCCUUUUUUCGCUUGUGGCUUCUGUACGAGUCUUUGUCUUCUUUGAAACUGUACUUCUACGGAAUGAUCCCAAACCCGCAGACACAUCCUGGGUGCUCAGGAUUCCCGAGGGCCAAUGUGAGCUCAUCCAUUUCUCGAUCCACCACCAAC
RNAcentral lists this long non-coding RNA (209 nucleotides) under Setaria viridis. Its description in RNAcentral is "long non-coding RNA (SVIR_LNC009044)". Lineage: Eukaryota; Viridiplantae; Streptophyta; Magnoliopsida; Poales; Poaceae. The record is from RNAcentral.